This 277-nucleotide ribosomal RNA is filed under the name uncultured eukaryote. Its description in RNAcentral is "partial 18S ribosomal RNA". It matches the Rfam family "Eukaryotic small subunit ribosomal RNA", at positions 21 to 306 of the family's 1831-position model. The record is from RNAcentral.
UAGUCAUAUGCUUGUCUUAAAGACUAAGCCAUGCAUGUCUAAGUAUAAGUUAUAUACAGCGAAACUGCGAAUGGCUCAUUAAAACAGUUAUAGUUUAUUCGAUUAUUUUCUUCUACAUGGAUAACCGUAGUAAUUCUAGAGCUAAUACAUGCUGUCAAACCUGACUUUUCGGAAGGGUUGUAUUUAUUAGAUAUUAAACUAACCCUGGCAACAGGAUAGUGAUGAUUCAUAAUAACUGAGCGGAUCGCGGCCUCGCCGCGACGAAUCGUUCAAGUUU